RNAcentral lists this ribosomal RNA (497 nucleotides) under uncultured bacterium. Its description in RNAcentral is "partial 16S ribosomal RNA". It matches the Rfam family "Bacterial small subunit ribosomal RNA", at positions 28 to 507 of the family's 1533-position model. The record is from RNAcentral.
GAUGAACGCUGGCGGCGUGCCUAAUACAUGCAAGUCGAGCGAACAGAUGAGGAGCUUGCUCCUCUGACGUUAGCGGCGGACGGGUGAGUAACACGUGGAUAACCUACCUAUAAGACUGGGAUAACUUCGGGAAACCGGAGCUAAUACCGGAUAAUAUAUUGAACCGCAUGGUUCAAUAGUGAAAGACGGUUUUGCUGUCACUUAUAGAUGGAUCCGCGCCGCAUUAGCUAGUUGGUAAGGUAACGGCUUACCAAGGCAACGAUGCGUAGCCGACCUGAGAGGAUGAUCGGCCACACUGGAACUGAGACACGGUCCAGACUCCUACGGGAGGCAGCAGUAGGGAAUCUUCCACAAUGGGCGAAAGCCUGACGGAGCAACGCCGCGUGAGUGAUGAAGGUCUUCGGAUCGUAAAGCUCUGUUAUUGGGGAAGAAAAAAUGUGUAAGUAACUAUGCACGUCUUGACGGUACCUAAUCAGAAAGCCACGGCUAACUACGUG